UACGUAGGGGGCAAGCGUUGUCCGGAAUGACUGGGCGUAAAGGGAGUGUAGGCGGCCUUGCAAGUUAGAUGUGAAAUCCUACGGCUUAACCGUAGAACUGCAUCUAAAACUGGUAAGCUGGAGUGCAGGAGAGGUGAGUGGAAUUCCUAGUGUAGCGGUGGAAUGCGUAGAUAUUAGGAGGAACACCAGAGGCGAAGGCGACUCACUGGACUGUAACUGACGCUGAGGCUCGAAAGUGCGGGUAUCGAACAGG
This 253-nucleotide ribosomal RNA is filed under the name uncultured Eubacteriales bacterium. RNAcentral describes it as "uncultured Clostridiales bacterium partial 16S ribosomal RNA". It matches the Rfam family "Bacterial small subunit ribosomal RNA", at positions 524 to 776 of the family's 1533-position model. The record is from RNAcentral. Lineage: Bacteria; Bacillati; Bacillota; Clostridia; Eubacteriales.